Molecule: long non-coding RNA, 2068 nt
Organism: Cucumis melo (muskmelon)
Lineage: Eukaryota; Viridiplantae; Streptophyta; Magnoliopsida; Cucurbitales; Cucurbitaceae
Exons: 2
Source: RefSeq, a predicted model, not a curated record
UGAAAGUUUCCUGUUAUUGUUAGUCAUUUGACGCCAUCCAGAAAUGAUUGCAAGGAAGACGAAUCUUUACAGUUUAGUAACACUUCUUGAACAGAAUAAAAAAGAUGGAUCUUUACAAAGGCAACCACUCUUUAUUCAUACUGAGGUAUUCUUCUUGAACACGAUGGCUUUGUUGCUGGUAGAAUCAAUACCCACAGGACAAGAGAUUUGCUUUAUAUGUGUUGUUUUUACUAGCUGCCCUACCACGUAUCCUCGUGACCGGAUUUUGAACGACAAUGUCAUUGGAACCGGGCUACUUGUUGGGGGAACAGUCAAAGUUGAUGCAGCUCCAUACAUAGGAACCUUUAUUCCCUCCAAGUUGACAGAUACUCUCCGGUGACUGUUUCUUGGUUGGUAAUAUUUCUUCAACUGCACAUAGGAUCACAAUUCACAAGUCAUGAAAGUUAUGUCCUUGGCGAUCGAGGAUGAAACAAUCACAAAUUCCUCUUUAAGAUGAUAUUUGGCUCGUUUGGAAUGACUACGGGUUUAAAGUACUGAAAUUCAUUCUAAACCGGACUUUGUUUUAAAUUCAUAAUUUCAUUGCCUAAGGCAAGCUGGACUCCAAUCCAAGCUCUUUUCCGAACCAAUCAGUUUCAAAGUUAUGAGUAACAAAACAGAAGCUCGGCAUAGUUUAUUACCUGACCAGAGGCCACAACAAUCUCUGAAUAAAUGAGAUCAAUUGGUGUGGAGGUAACAUGAAUUCCAAAUAUUGUAGCAGGGUUGUAUACACUUAAUCUCAAUGUGCUAUUCAAUGUCAGCAACUUGGUAGGAACCCCAGUGGAAUCUGAACCUUCUCCAACGUAAAAAUUGUGCACAGCCAAGCUCUGGAAGAAAUCAGAUUUUACAUUAUCGAAAGAAUGAACGUCUCUGUUCAUGAAGGGCUGGAAAUUUGACAUGGUCAAGAAGAGAGGCUAACCAAAUGAUCUAGCUUCAUAAAUUUGAAUUUCGAUUCAGUUAAAAGAAUUUUUAUGAAUAGAUAUAGAUGAUUAAAUGAGUUAUAUAAGCAGUUAGUUUCUUUAUUUUCCUUCAAACAUAGAAUCUUUAUGUUAAAAUUUCUACCAUAUCAUUUAUUUCUUCUCGAGUAAACAUAGGUAAUCACAUCAUUUGUUAAACUCAUGUUGAUAUCAUCUAGAACAGUGUAAAGAAUACAAAUCAUAUCACAGUAAUUAGUAACUUGAUUACCUUGACAGAAAUCUGAGCCUUGAAAGGCCUGCUCGCUCCCCAAAUGAUAAGGCAGAAAAGUGUGAACAAAGCAAUGAAACUCAGGAGAGCAAUUAGAACUUGAAUACGUCUUGACAGAGCUUUGUCUUCAAGGUCAUCAUAAGGUCCUUCUUCCAUGAUUACAUUACACUCAGGCCAUCCUUUUUCAUUACUAAUCUGCUUCUUACUUCCUUUUCUGCCAGAAGAUGACCGGAAAAUGCCCGAAAAUCGGCUCGCCGAUGAGUUUCUCGAAUGCCGGCCAAACGACGGGUGUGAAGGUGACUCAAUUGGGCUGUUGUUAUAGAUUGGAGUGGUAUGCAUUGAGGAAGAUUUAUCCCCAUCGUUAGAACAUCUUGAAGGGCUCUGAACAUAGUAUGUUGGGCGCUUUGGUGACCUCGAAGGCGAUGAUGGCGCCAAACUGGUAACAUCAGACUCAGAUUUUGUAGAAAUCAUUUCUUAAGAUUAUGCUAACACAGAUUACGAUAAUUGAAGAUAGUUUCAGAACAACAAAAACCACAUAAUAGUAGGAACCCAAAUGGGGUUGGAGAAAGAACAAAGCACUAACACAUUCAAUAGAAACUUGUAUAGGCACUGUGGAUAAUUCUUCAACUCUUUUGCUGAAAGGGCCAAGCAGGAAGGAGAUGAAAUGCUAUAAGGUCGGAGAACCAAGCAAGGCCUAAAAGCUUGAAGCCAAAGGACAACCACUAGUAGGGAGAAUGAGUGUCGGCAGCAAAUUAUUAUCUAAUUUACAAGGUGGAAAUUUGAACCUUCUAGUCAUGUUUCUUAUUGUAGUGGAUCUUCUUAUUAUAUAAUUUGAUUUAACAACAAA